RNAcentral lists this long non-coding RNA (476 nucleotides) under Rosa chinensis. RNAcentral describes it as "sRNA RchiOBHm_Chr5g0046701". Lineage: Eukaryota; Viridiplantae; Streptophyta; Magnoliopsida; Rosales; Rosaceae. The record is from RNAcentral.
UUUUUAAGUUUUCCAUCGAUGUAGGCUAAGGUCAAAUCAAAAUAGGCGCAAUUGGAAGUUGGAGUUGCAAGUCAAUCUUGAUCAGAAAAGAAAGAACGAGAAGGAAAAAAGCAAAUUCCAGAUUUUUCGGUGGAAAUGGCAAGUGACCUUGGCCUUCAGAACUUGGCCAUUGGAGAGCUCAAAGCUUGCAAGAGACAAUGCAAAGAGAAGUGUUGGGAGGACCAGGCCGGAAAGAGCAGCCAUUGAAGAAAAUUACACACAGUGCAGAAACAAGUACUCCACAAACUUGAUAUGAACAAAAGAUGACUCCAGUGCAGCUUAUAUAAAUAGAGAAUCAGAACAAGACCAUAAUAAAUGGAAAGCCCCAGUCGGUGUGUUUUCUAGUUGGUGGUAAUCAAAUGCUUUCACCUAUUUUCCCAACAGGGAUUUAUUACACCGGCCAGCUCAGAUAUUUUGUGGUUUUUUUUAAUUUUUUU